CAUCCUGCCUCUGUGGAUGGGGAAGGCAGUCUCUCUACUGUCAUCUUUAAUCUUAGCACAGUUCUCGCAGUCCUCGUGUGGGCGCUGGCACGCAGCAUCCUUCCGGCACACAAACAGGCCAUCCUCACUGUUCAGGAGCUGGGUCUGCAGGAAGCUGAAGCAGGAGUCCUCCAGGUUGUGCAUGCGCAGGAACUCAGCACAGCGGAUGACCUCGCGGAUGUUUUCUCUGCUGAGUAACAGCUUGGCAGUGUAGGCAAACUGUAACAGCGGCCCAAAGCCCCUGGCUGUGACCUGCAAAACAAACAGGGAAAUCGCCAACAUUACCAUCAGCACUGCUAUUGUCCCGAAUCCCUCAACUGAAGCAAGAUAACCAGACAGUGCUAAUGUCCCAGAAUAAAGACUGCAAAGGGGCAGUUAA
This is a long non-coding RNA of Homo sapiens (human), 418 nucleotides long. The record is from Ensembl. NCBI's taxonomy places the organism in Eukaryota, Metazoa, Chordata, Mammalia, Primates, Hominidae.